This 253-nucleotide ribosomal RNA is filed under the name uncultured bacterium. RNAcentral's name for it is "partial 16S ribosomal RNA". It matches the Rfam family "Bacterial small subunit ribosomal RNA", at positions 524 to 776 of the family's 1533-position model. The record is from RNAcentral.
GACAGGGGGGGCACGCGAUGUUCGGUGUCACUGGGCUUAGAGCGUGUGUAGGAGGCAAAGUAAGCGCUUUGUGAAAGCCACCGGCUCAACCGGGGAAUUGCUUGGCGAACUGCUUUGCUUGAGGCAAGAAGGGGUGCGGGGAACUCUUGGUGGAGCGGUGGAAUGCGUAGAUACCAAGAGGAACGCCGGUGGUGAAGACGCUGCACUAUACUUCUCCUGACGCUGAGACAAGAAAGCGUGGGGAGCAAACGGG